Molecule: ribosomal RNA, 254 nt
Filed under: uncultured bacterium
Lineage: Bacteria
Description: partial 16S ribosomal RNA
Rfam family: Bacterial small subunit ribosomal RNA
Source: RNAcentral
UACGGAGGGGGCAAGCGUUGUUCGGAAUUACCGGGCGUAAAGGGCGCGCAGGCGGCUGCUCAAGUCAGGCGUGAAAGGCCUGGGCUCAACCCGGGAAUUGCGCUUGAGACUGGGCUGGCUUGAGUGCGGGAGAGGAUGGUGGAAUUCCCAGUGUAGAGGUGAAAUUCGUAGAUAUUGGGAAGAACACCGGUGGCGAAGGCGGCCAUCUGGACCGCAACUGACGCUGAGGCGCGAAAGCGUGGGGAGCAAACAGG